Molecule: ribosomal RNA, 700 nt
Filed under: Vreelandella stevensii
Lineage: Bacteria; Pseudomonadati; Pseudomonadota; Gammaproteobacteria; Oceanospirillales; Halomonadaceae
Also listed under: 1 other name
Description: bacterial SSU rRNA
Rfam family: Bacterial small subunit ribosomal RNA
Source: RNAcentral
UCGGAUUACUGGGCGUAAGCGCGCGUAGGUGGCUUGAUAAGCCGGUUGUGUAAAGCCCCGGGCUCAACCUGGGAACGGCAUCCGGAACUGUCAAGCUAGAGUGCAGGAGAGGAAGGUAGAAUUCCCGGUGUAGCGGUGAAAUGCGUAGAGAUCGGGAGGAAUACCAGUGGCGAAGGCGGCCUUCUGGACUGACACUGACACUGAGGUGCGAAAGCGUGGGUAGCAAACAGGAUUAGAUACCCUGGUAGUCCACGCCGUAAACGAUGUCGACCAGCCGUUGGGUGCCUAGCGCACUUUGUGGCGAAGUUAACGCGAUAAGUCGACCGCCUGGGGAGUACGGCCGCAAGGUUAAAACUCAAAUGAAUUGACGGGGGCCCGCACAAGCGGUGGAGCAUGUGGUUUAAUUCGAUGCAACGCGAAGAACCUUACCUACUCUUGACAUCCUGCGAACUUGUGAGAGAUCACUUGGUGCCUUCGGGAACGCAGAGACAGGUGCUGCAUGGCUGUCGUCAGCUCGUGUUGUGAAAUGUUGGGUUAAGUCCCGUAACGAGCGCAACCCUUGUCCUUAUUUGCCAGCGCGUAAAGGCGGGAACUCUAAGGAGACUGCCGGUGACAAACCGGAGGAAGGUGGGGACGACGUCAAGUCAUCAUGGCCCUUACGAGUAGGGCUACACACGUGCUACAAUGGUCGGUACAAAGG